Molecule: ribosomal RNA, 476 nt
Filed under: uncultured bacterium
Lineage: Bacteria
Description: partial 16S ribosomal RNA
Rfam family: Bacterial small subunit ribosomal RNA
Source: RNAcentral
GAUGAACGCUAGCGGCGGGCCUAAUACAUGCAAGUCGAACGGGAAAGGUGGCAACACCUUGAGAGUGGCGUACGGGUGCGUAACGCGUAUACAACCUGCCUGUUACACGGGGAUAGCCUUGCGAAAGCGAGAUUAAUACCCGAUGGUACUAUUGAGCGGCAUCGCUUGGUAGUUAAAGCUGAGGCGGUAACAGAGGGGUAUGCGUCCCAUUAGCUAGUUGGUAGUGUAACGGACUACCAAGGCGACGAUGGGUAGGGGUUCUGAGAGGAUGAUCCCCCACACUGGUACUGAGAUACGGACCAGACUACUACGGGAGGCAGCAGUAGGGAAUAUUGGGCAAUGGACGGAAGUCUGACCCAGCCACGCCGCGUGCAGGAAGAAGGUCCUCUGGAUUGUAAACUGCUUUUCUUGGGGAAGAAAACACUUCUGCGGAAGGAAUUGACGGUACUCAAGGAAUAAGCAUCGGCUAACUCCGU